This is a long non-coding RNA of Phascolarctos cinereus (koala), 1632 nucleotides long. Lineage: Eukaryota; Metazoa; Chordata; Mammalia; Diprotodontia; Phascolarctidae. The record is from Ensembl.
AUGAAGUGUUCCCGUUACUGUGGCAACAGAACCCUUGAUUGCCGGUGGCACCGAAAACAUUCUCCGCUCAGAAUGUCUAAGUGGAUUCUUAUUGCCCCUCUGGCCACAGCACGCAUGACCACUGGUCCACCCUUUCAAGCUGUAUGUUUCUUUUCUAUUACUGCAUCAACCAUUGACUCCUUCACAGACGGACUAGUUUGCUGCUCCCCACACUCUCCAGACUGCCUCUGGCUCUUUGUGAAACCCACUCCAUCUUCUGUGGGAAAACCUGGCUCUCUCUAAUACGAGGCUUACUUCAUUCCCAUCCUUCAAAAACCAAGCUCCCAGUGUGGCUUCUCCAAGAAACCAAGCCUCUCACAGAAGACUUCACUGGACCCUUGGAUUUCCUCAUUGUGUGGCAUUAGAGUUGCCUCCUGUCUUGUAUAUGUUUAGCCAGAUAGUGUAGGUAUUGUCCAUGCACAUACCUUAUUUGACCUCAACUGGAAGGUCUGUAAGGGUAGGGACCACGCCUUUUAUUGUAUUAUAUUGUUCUGUCCUAUUCUCCACCCAUUGCAUCUUGUGUUUAAUAGUCUGUUUUACUGAACCAAUGUUAGUGGCAACUUCAAUAUGUUAUGAACAAAUGAGACAAUGCUUAUGUUCUUAAAACUUGUGAACUAUGGCAAGCAACCCAAAUGUGGUUAAUUUUAUUACAGCCAAAUGUAAUUUUCUUCUUCUGGUGGAGUCUUUUAGCGGCCGAUAUUAAUUAAUGUGGUUAAUGGAAAACACUUGAUAUAUUAAACUCUCUUACUAAUAAUUAAAAUAGCAAAAAAUGAAGUAAAAUUGAUGCAAGAAGAAUUAUUGAGAUUUACCUAAAUACCCCAGGAGGACACAAGAUUAACUGAAAAUUUAUUUUUAUUUUCAAAUAUGACAAAUUUUAUUUAUAGAAUAUAAAUUUUGUGGUUUCCUUAGAGGGUUUUUUUUUUGGUAGGAAUGAAUGUAUUAAACAAAUUAAGAAUGCUACUUACAUAAGAUUUUAUUGUUUUAGGGAAAAACAUGUUAUUUCAAUGAAAUUAAAUGAAAAAAACAUUAAGUGUUUACUAAAUCAUUCUCAAAAGUAUUCAGACUAAGUAAUAAGGGUGUAUUGGACUCAGUAUGGAUUUAAGUCACUGUAAUCUAAUAAGCAUACUUCAAAUCUUAGUUAAAAGCAGAAAUUCUAUCACCCUGAACAAUUAGUGGCUACAAUUUUAAUUGGAUAUCUUAGAAUCUCACCUUUCCCUUCCACCUUAAAUCUUUACCACUUAUCUUUGACUGCCACUUUCAGGGGCAUUUUAGAAGAUCUAUCUUUUGGUCUUUAAGUGCUAAAAAGGAAAGUGAGAUCUGUAAGGUGUGUGCUAGGGCAAGAACCUUGGCUGCUGCUGGGGCUCUUAUGUUGGCAUUCUUUCUGCUGGGAAAUUCCCACAACACUUCCCCUAGAUUUCCACUGCCACUCAGUGCUUUGGGAAAGUGACCUUCCUGGGCAAAAGCAGAGGCAAGGGUGUGGAGGGGAGUUGGUUAGACAUUCCGUCUGUAAUCCCAACAGUAUGAUUUUAUAUGCUAGGAGGGGGAAAAGGGGAAGAGAAUUAAUUCAAUAUAAUAAAAGAAUGUCCCUUUUCA